This 263-nucleotide long non-coding RNA is filed under the name Elaeis guineensis (African oil palm). Its description in RNAcentral is "long non-coding RNA (EGUI_LNC017669)". Lineage: Eukaryota; Viridiplantae; Streptophyta; Magnoliopsida; Arecales; Arecaceae. The record is from RNAcentral.
CACCGCAUCAUUACGUGGGAUCGGGCCUCUAACAAAGCUUUAAUUCUUAAACCUCAACAUCAAUUUUAUGAUACCUUUAUUUCUUAAUAUUUCCUGUUUGCCAAGAAAUAAAUUCACAAGAAAUACUUUUUCAUAAAUAUAAUCGGCCAUAAAUCACGUGCAUGCACGUGCUGGAUGGAUCAUUUCAGACGUUGUCCAUGGAGACGUCUGGUCUCUGGCUAACUUAGCUUAAAACAAUUGACCCCCAUCACCUCCUUGCCAGC